RNAcentral lists this long non-coding RNA (1811 nucleotides) under Salvia miltiorrhiza (redroot sage). RNAcentral's name for it is "long non-coding RNA (SMIL_LNC011485)". The record is from RNAcentral. Lineage: Eukaryota; Viridiplantae; Streptophyta; Magnoliopsida; Lamiales; Lamiaceae.
UCCCUCCCUCAAAUUUAGUCAAAUUUUAAUUUUAAUUCAAAAUUACACCUUCCUCGGCUGCUCCGCGCUGCAACGGAGAAUGAUGAUCCCUCCUCAUAGUCUUCGCCCCCUGCUCGGCUGCUCCAUCUCCGCCUUGAAUCAGGUCAGUCAUUGCGCGGCCGCCUGCCGUUCUCAGCCUCACUAAUUUAGGCGUUCUAGCUUUGAGCUUGUUCGCACCAUUUUUCAAAACCCUAAACUCCAAUUUUUCCUUUUCGAAAUUCCACCAGAAAAUGGCCUCGGAUAUUCGAUCGGUGAUAGAAAGAAGCGGUGACGGCGUGGGACAACCAAUACAUGAUGCCAACAAUCGGAUGUGCUAAUGCACGAGAAGCCUGGCGUCUCCAUCGUCCUUGGCAGCAGCCGCCGCCCGCUGGAAUCCCUCGGCACUCUUAACAUCACCUCCAGGUUGUCUAAGCGAUUGAUUCUCAUUGCAUUUUCUAUACGUAGCUUUAUGGUGUGAUUGAUUGUUUUGAUCUUUGUAUGAAAAAAGCAGUGAUGUGCUUGAGUGACUCGAACAUAGUGAAAGGCUAUAUAUGAUGUCGACUUCAUUUUUGUGUCUCUUCACGCAGUGUCCAGAGAUCCCGAGGUUUACGCUUCUCCUUGCAUCUAUGCUCAUGUGAUUCGUCCUUAGUCUAAAUGCCCAAGCUCUUUGUUUUUUAUUUUGUAAUUUACUUUGUUAAAUGGAAUUUAAGUUGCAUUUCGAAGUUUAGGAUGUGAUAUUGGUGAUUUGUGCUUAAAUAUUUUGUAUUUUUAUCGUUGAUAUAUUGUUAUAGUUUUGAGUUAUGAUUCUCGUGAUAUGGAAGAAGUUUCAUUUCCUGGUUUGAGAUUAAUUUGAGUUUGUCUUAGUAUUAAAUGGACCGAAUACUUUUAUCUGUGUUGUAGUUAAACAUAUUGGAAUCUUUUAUAGUUAGUUGUAAAGAAUAGCUGAUUUAUGUAGAGUUCUUUUUUGAAGUUAUGUGAAUGUAACAUUAAUCACAUUUGUGGAGAGAAUUUAUGUACGUGAGAGAUACCCUUCAUAUGAAAGGUGAGACGUAGAGCAAUUAACUCUAUGUUAUGUGUGGAAGAUUGAUUUAUCUUUAAGUCUUUGACCACGUAGAGACGUGUGUCUUGUACUAUUUAUCUCUGAUUUCAGGGAGCACAAAGUUCUAAAUUUUAAGUAGGUGUUUGUUGAAAUUAAGUAAUGCAAUUCUUAGACUUUUUUCUUUAACUCACAUGUUUUCAACUCAGCCAUGUAGUCUGAUGAUGUUGCAUUCUACUUGCAGGUUCUUGUAAGCUGGUGAUGUUAAAGAUCCCCAAAUAUCACAUCUACGCUCUUCUAUUUAUGUGAGUGACGAAUUUUCUUUCCCAUAAUUUUCUGAUAGUCUAAAUGUAUCUUUGUUUGAUCAUUCAAUCCCCCAACACAAUUAUGCAACAUCGACUAUGCAACUUGUGGGAGCCUACAACCAGUUUCCCCAGUCCCUCUUUGGGCGUCUAAGAUAUCUACAUAAUUCCAGUUGUAGAAAUUCUGCUGGAAAAUAUCAAGAACAAAUGGAUACGUUUCACAUGCUACAUUUACAUUGAUGUGAACGAUAUUGGCAUGAUUCAAGAAGCUGACAUUGGAGUUGGCAUCAGUGGAUGUGACGUAACACAUAAUAUGAUAGAUUUUUGUUUUAGUUGUGUGGUACUUGAUAUUUUUAAUUUCGAAUCGAUUGAUGAUAUGUACUUAAUACUCGAUACUUUGUGGUUAAAUUUAGGUAUGAAGUUUGUAUUAAUAUUUGCUACAAAAUUAUUGUAUG